GUUUCCGUAGUGUAGCGGUUAUCACGUUCGCCACACGCACGGAAACGAAGGUUCGAAUCCACCCGGGCAAA
RNAcentral lists this transfer RNA (71 nucleotides) under Anguilla anguilla (European eel). RNAcentral's name for it is "tRNA-OTHER". Lineage: Eukaryota; Metazoa; Chordata; Actinopteri; Anguilliformes; Anguillidae. The record is from RNAcentral.